AAUAGAUACCCGGGUAGUCCACGCCGUAAACGGUGGGCACUAGAUGUGGGGCUCUUUCCAUGAGUUCCGCGUCGCAGCUAACGCAUUAAGUGCCCCGCCCGGGGAGUACGGCCGCAAGGCUAAAACUCAAAGGAAUUGACGGGGGCCCGCACAAGCGGCGGAGCAUGCGGAUUAAUUCGAUGCAACGCGAAGAACCUUACCAAGGCUUGACAUAUACGGUCUAUCCCUAGAGAUAGGGAGUGCUUCGGCGCCGUAUACAGGUGGUGCAUGGUUGUCGUCAGCUCGUGUCGUGAGAUGUUGGGUUAAGUCCCGCAACGAGCGCAACCCUCGUCCUAUGUUGCCAGCGGGUAAUGCCGGGGACUCAUGGGAGACUGCCGGGGUCAACUCGGAGGAAGGUGGGGAUGAUGUCAAGUCAGCAUGGCCCUUACGUCCUGGGCUACACCCACGCUACAAUGGCCGGUACAACGGGCGGCGAAACCGCGAGGUGGAGCUAAUCCCUUAAAGCCGGUCUCAGUUCGGAUCGUAGGCUGCAACUCGCCU
This 540-nucleotide ribosomal RNA is filed under the name uncultured bacterium. RNAcentral describes it as "bacterial SSU rRNA". It matches the Rfam family "Bacterial small subunit ribosomal RNA", at positions 777 to 1317 of the family's 1533-position model. The record is from RNAcentral.